RNAcentral lists this ribosomal RNA (402 nucleotides) under uncultured bacterium. RNAcentral describes it as "bacterial SSU rRNA". It matches the Rfam family "Bacterial small subunit ribosomal RNA", at positions 355 to 774 of the family's 1533-position model. The record is from RNAcentral.
GCGGGAAUUUUGGGCAAUGGGCGAAAGCCUGACCCAGCAACGCCGCGUGAGGGAUGAAGUAUUUCGGUAUGUAAACCUCGAAAGAAUGGGAAGAAUAAAUGACGGUACCAUUUAUAAGCUCCGGCUAACUACGUGCCAGCAGCCGCGGUAAUACGUAGGGAGCAAGCGUUGUUCGGAUUUACUGGGCGUAAAGGGCGCGUAGGCGGCGCGGUAAGUCACUUGUGAAAUCUCUGAGCUUAACUCAGAACGGCCAAGUUAUACUGCUGUGCUAGAGUGCGGAAGAGGCAACCGGAAUUCUUGGUGUAGCGGUGAAAUGCGUAGAUAUCAAGAGGAACACCUGAGGCGAAGGCGGGUUGCUGGGCCGACACUGACGCUGAUGCGCGAAAGCCAGGGGAGCAAACG